This 2678-nucleotide long non-coding RNA is filed under the name Homo sapiens (human). Its description in RNAcentral is "HSALNT0118413". Lineage: Eukaryota; Metazoa; Chordata; Mammalia; Primates; Hominidae. The record is from RNAcentral.
GCUAGGAUAACAGGUGUGAACCACUGCACCCGGUCCCUCCUUAGUUUUCACUUGGCUUUUGUAAAUGGGGUGGACGGAUGCGGGGUGGUUGAAGGGGUUGAGCAUUUGGAUCUUCUUAACAAAUCUAGAAUGCAAUUCAAACCCAUGGGGUCCCUAAUAGAAAUUGCAGAGACCCAGUAGAGCAUCUAAGAUGUUAGGCUUAGGUGAGAGUUUUGUCUCGUGUUACCUUUAUUGUAUGUAUUAGGUCUUUCCCGGCUAAGUAUAAAAUUAAAGUAUGUUUGAUAUGAAAACCACAUGAAAGCAUCCCUAGUCCAAAAGCUCAGAGAGAACUAUGGUAAUGUUCUUCUGUGUCCUUCUAGCUGGUCACCUUGGCUUUCUGGCAGGCUCUGUGCUCCUUAGCUCCACUUCUCUUUCUUUAAAAAAAAAAAUCAACUAAUUAAUUAACUAAUAUUAUUAUUUUUCUAAAGACAGGGCUUUGCCAAGUUGCCCUGGCUGGUCUCAAACUCCUAGGCUCAAGCAAUCCACCCACUUCAUCCUCCAAAGGUGCUGGGAUUACAGGUGUAGGCCACCACACCCAGCCUCCUCUUAUUUUUCUAACAGGGUUCCCACCUGAUCCAUAAACAGCCUGGUCCCCCUGCAAUGGGGGCCUGAGAGCCAACGCUAUGCCAUCUCUCCUCAAAGGCAUCUGUCCUGUCUGACAUGGCUAGGAGUCCCCCAAGCCACCACCAGGCUACCCUAUCACAGGCUUGCUAAGCUCCAUCCAGCAGUGUAACCAGGAUCUAAAAGCGGAUUUGCCUCACAUUUUGCUGUUGUUUCCAAAAAAAAGUAGCCCAAUACCACCUCCCUCUGUAAUGGCGGCUUGUUUUCUCUCUGGCCACACAGCAGACAGCAACUCCUUGCUUAACGUGAGAUAUUAUUGGCCGGGGGCGGUGGCUCACGCCUGUUAUCCUAGCACUUUGGGAGGCCGAGGCAGGCAGAUCGCCUGAGGUCAGGAGUUCGAGACCAACCUGGCCAACGUGGGGAAGCCCUAUCUCUAAUAAAAAUACAAAAAUUUGCUGGUCAUGGUGGCAUGUGCCUGUAAUUCCAGCUACUCAGGAGGCUGAGGCAGGAGAAUCGCUUGAACCCAGGAGAUAGAGGUUGAAGUGAGCCGAGAUCGCGCCGUUGCACUCCAGCCUGGGCAACAAGAGUGAAACUCCAUCUCAAAAAUAAAUAAAUAAAUAAACAAUUAAAAUAAAAUAAAGCGAGAUGUUAUUAAGCCUCCAAGGGGCGUGAUGAAUGUUACUGUCUUUAGGACGGGAAAAUCCAUUUGUUCCCUUCCGCAGUGGAGUGGAAGAACAGCACCUGAAGUUGGAAUCAACACUUAAAACAAUUUCUAAUCCUUUUUGUACUUUAAUAUUUUCGGGGACUGCUUACUAUUUAAUAAGUGCUCUUCCUGGGUUAAUCUUCUAUAAUUUAGCCAGAGGCCCAUUUGUUUGAUUUCUGUGACUUUUAAUUAUUCUGGCGGUCCCUGGGGUAGGAACAGCAGAGGUCUCUUAGAAUAGGCAUACUAUGAACAGCUGUGAUUAAAUGGUUUUGCAUUUUUCAUGAAACAGGUAUGAACUCCGACCCUAGCGAAUCGAAGGUUCUGAGGAAAGAUGGAAUUCUUGUUAGCGACUCUAUGGCAGCCUUUGCGUACAUUAGAGAUAGGUCAAUGAAUCAAAGCUCCCUAGAAUGCUGAUGGAUUUACUAAAGUCUUGUUAAUAAAUGUGCUGUUCAAUUAUAACACUCAGAUAACUAAAGGACAAUGACUUCAAGUUUGACAUGCCAACCACCGCUUCUAAGAUUCAGAAACACAGAGGCCUGAGUUCAGGCACAGUCGCAACCAGGCAGUCAGCAAGAGAACCACAUAAACAGACAAAGUCACACUAUUUAGGAGUUGAGCUCCACAGAUAUUGUUCACUUUUGAAAAGCAGAUACCUGAGGAAUGCAUUUCCCAGCUCUAAAAUUUGGGAAGGAACUAGAAUUAUUGAAUUCCAACCCUGGUUGGAAGAAAAAUGAGCCAGAAGAUCACUCAGUAAACAAGACAGAUGAUGCCCCAUGAAGACAGAACCACUUUCUGGGUCAUUAGUGUUAUUCCUAAUGGUUGCCAAGGAUUCCCUUGUUAGUCUUCCCCAUGAGGAUCAAUCAGACUCAGCCCUCAUGAAUUAACAGAGCCAAAAGGCUUAUACCAAGGCCGGCCACACCACGGGGACCUCUUCAUCAAGGGGAAGAUAAUUUCAUGAGGACGAAAGACAUCUUAAUGAAAGUGAAAGUACAAGGUAUUUACCAGGAGAUAUUCACACCGGAUGCCGUGUCUCACACCUGCAAUCCCAGCUUCACACCAGAUGCAAUGGCUCACACCUGUAACCCCAGCACCUGGGGAGGCCAAGGCAGGAGGAUCACUUUCAGCCAGGAGUUUAAGACCAACCCGGGAAAAAAGACCUCAUCUCUACAAAAAAAUAUAAUAAAAAGUUAGCCGGGCAUGGUAGUAUAUGCCUGUAGUCCCAGCUACUCAGGAGGCUGAGGUGACAGGAUUGUUUGAGCCCAGAAAUUCAAGGCCGCAGCACGCUAUGAUUGUGCCACUGCACUCCAGUCUGGGUGAAAAAGGGAGACUCUCUCUUUCUCGCUGUCUCUCUCACACGUUCUCUCUCUCUCUCUCU